This 433-nucleotide ribosomal RNA is filed under the name uncultured bacterium. RNAcentral describes it as "partial 16S ribosomal RNA". It matches the Rfam family "Bacterial small subunit ribosomal RNA", at positions 29 to 507 of the family's 1533-position model. The record is from RNAcentral.
AACGAACGCUGGCGGCAUGCCUAACACAUGCAAGUCGAACGAGACCUUCGGGUCUAGUGGCGCACGGGUGCGUAACGCGUGGGAACCUGCCCUUAGGUUCGGAAUAACUCCCCGAAAGGGGUGCUAAUACCGGAUAAUGUCUUCGGACCAAAGAUUUAUCGCCUUUGGAUGGGCCCGCGUUGGAUUAGCUAGUUGGUAGGGUAAAAGCCUACCAAGGCGACGAUCCAUAGCUGGUCUGAGAGGAUGAUCAGCCACACUGGGACUGAGACACGGCCCAGACUCCUACGGGAGACAGCAGUGGGGAAUAUUGGACAAUGGGCGAAAGCCUGAUCCAGCAAUGCCGCGUGAGUGAUGAAGGCCUUAGGGUUGUAAAGCUCUUUUACCCGGGAUGAUAGUGACAGUACCGGGAGAAUAAGCUCCGGCUAACUCCGUG